AUGUGCUUUCCCCUCCUGGAUGUUGUAGUCAGACAGGGUGCGCCCAUCUUCCAGCUGUUUCCCGGCAAAGAUCAACCUCUGCUGGUCCGGGGGGAUGCCCUCCUUGUCCUGGAUCUUCGCCUUGACAUUCUCGAUGGUGUCGCUGGGCUCCACCUCCAGGGUGAUGGUCUUACCGGUCAAAGGUCUUCACGAAGAUCUGCAUUGUCUGUCACAAAAAAAAACAAAGAACCCAGGAGUGUAGCAGACAACUCACAGGAUCCUACCGCUAAGUUACUGAUCGUAUUGCGCGUUUGCCCAGGACUCAAAGAAGCCUCACCUAAGAAAGCUAACCGGAAAAAAUAGGACAGGCUCCCUAAGCUCAAAUAAGCUCCAAAGCCAACUUUCAGACCCCUACAAGGAGAGAAAAACACGGAUACCGGUCAAGUGAAGACGCGGGCCUCACUUUUCUUCCCCUCCCACCUCACUGAUGUCUGCCCCGGGCCUAACCCUUGUGUCCCGCGACUGACCAAAGUCAGCUUCAUACAUAGGACCAGGAAGCCCCACCCCGGAUUGUGAGCCGACAAAGGGGUGACAUCACGUGACCGACGGGGCGAGGGAGUCGUCCCGUCCCCUAGAAUGGGCGCAGGACGCUGAGUGGCACCCGCACUUAGUGCCCACUCGUUGCGACGAGACGCGGAGCUUGGCGCCAGCGCGGCCGCGGAACACACGUCGGCUUCCCCCCACUCACACUGCGCGAUAAGCCCCGUAAAAGCCUCACGGGCCCGUCGCGCUGUCAUCCACUCACAACCAUCCCCCCUCCCAGGCUUCUCUCUCCAACCUCACAGCCCGCCUCGCAGCCCGGCUUCUCCCAGCCAGGGAUCCGAAGCGGCCGCCAUUUUGCUGCGUCCCCCCUCCUCAGAGAACUCCCGCUCCCGCGCCCCGGGCGACUAAAACCCUCCAGCGCUGUCCCGCUGGUACAGCCUCCCGCCUCCCCUGCAGCCACUCGACCACAAGACCCCCGGGCCAGCAUAGCGGCCCACUCCUCACCAAGAGGCUGUGACAGCAGCACACGCAAAGGAAGGAAAACUGAACUCCCGGCCUCCUCGGAACUGCCUGCGCCACACCCGGCGCCUCCUUAUAUAGCAUUCGGUAGCCCCGCUCCAAUGGAUCCCUCCGCAGAAACGCCGAGAAGGGACUACUUUUCUCACACUUCAGGCCCUUUGGAGAGAUAACUAGUGCCCCCCCAAAACAUCUAAGAGACCCCCUGAAAUGUUUACCUAUCAAGGAUGGGCUGUAGGGCUGAAUCUAGUGAGGAAGGGGCCGCUGUCCUCGUCUCCCGCGCGGAGGGAUCAACGCGUUCGUUGAGUGCUACGUCCGCGGACUUGGCCGGCGCUCGACCUCGGGGGCGGGGGCGGGGGCGGGGGCUUCGGAGGCCGACUCUGCCCGAGACCCACCCGGCCGCGGCGGCGGGGUUAGGGGCUCGCUGCGCAGUGGCAAGCAAGUGUGCAAAU
This 1490-nucleotide long non-coding RNA is filed under the name Ailuropoda melanoleuca (giant panda). RNAcentral describes it as "lncRNA (ENSAMEG00000025348.1)". The record is from RNAcentral. Lineage: Eukaryota; Metazoa; Chordata; Mammalia; Carnivora; Ursidae.